Long non-coding RNA from Lycium barbarum (goji berry), 1669 nucleotides. RefSeq lists it as uncharacterized. The transcript has 2 exons. Lineage: Eukaryota; Viridiplantae; Streptophyta; Magnoliopsida; Solanales; Solanaceae. The record is from RefSeq and is a predicted model, not a curated record.
UUGUGAUAUAUCUUGUUUGUGGUGUAAAUAAAUUAGUGUGGAUGCCAUGUCCCCACAUGUUCUGUAGCACUAUGAUCUCUCCAAGUCUUUGAGGUUAUAAAUAGCCUCUUUCAUUUAUGAAAGAAGACACCCAAAAAUAGAAAGAAUUAUUAUACUACACUCGCUCCUUUCCCUCUUUCUCUCUAUGCAUGUGCUUUUAUUGCUCCUUUAUUUUAUUACAUCGCUUUUAUUUUAUAACCCAUUAUCAACACGAGGCUUUAACUAACUGAUAUUAUCCAAUUCAGUCGGGAUUAAUCUUUAAAGAAAUUCAGCGAUGAGAAAGUGAGAGUAUGCAAACGAUGAACUUCAAAGGAGUUGGCGUGGUUAUAUUUCAUGCCAUUGGUUAAGCGUGAAACGGUGGAUUCAAUCUCAUUGCAUCUAGAGGGUAUAAUAUCAGGUCCAGUCCUGGUGCACCGUGAUAAUUAAUGAAAUAUUGGGUUUGAGUCCCAUCAUAUUAUGGUCUACCAAGCCUUUAUAUGGGUAGGAUAGUGGGCUAGCGUCUCAUGCCCCAUUUUGAUGAUAUAAUUAUGACUAAAGCAAAAUAAUGUGCUUUUGAUGAAAAGUUAUGAAGCUUGCCACAUUGAAUUUUCUCCAUUCCGGAAGUGAAUGUCAUAGCAGUACAUAAUAAGUCUGAAAGAAGACAACUAGCUGAAUGUAUGAAUGUGGGCAUGAAAAGAUAAAAUAAUAAUGGUCAUCAUGAUUGUGGUAAUUAUAAAAGGAAGAACACAAUGGGUUCUCAAAAUGGCCCUUCAAAAGGUGAAGUUAAUCUUUGCGAUAUGGUACGAAAUGUCGUUGGGAACGCAAUUAUCGUGCGACCUAAUUUGACCGAUUUGAUAAAUCUUCCAUCAAAAGAAAGGAAUACAAAAUGGAGGCGCACUUGACCUUUCAAAUUAAAGUGAUGCUGAGGUUGGUCACAUAAAUAUAAUAAAUUUCAAGGCAUGACAAGGAACUUAUAAUGAACAUUUAUGAAGCACAUACAAAUUAUUAUAGUUCAUUCCUUGAAUAAAAUGUAACUUGUGAUAAGCACCGUGAUUGCUGGCCAUUCUUUAAAGUGAAUGUGGCAAGAUGUGAUAAUAUAUAUGCAUAAAGACAUGCUUAUGUAUGGUUAUACUAUACCACAACUCACCUCUUGAAGAGGUUUGAGAAAAAUCAUUAUUGUGAUAUAAGUGGUCAUUGAUCGACUUGCCGAUGAUUAUUUAAGAGAAAAGGUAAAAGCAAGCAACAGUUUUUGCCUAUAAUGAUUUUGAUCAUGACCGAAAAUGAUAGAAUUUUCUCCUUUAAAGGGGAUGUGUUAUGAAAUAUGUGGUAACACAAUUAAUUGACAGCUUUGGAAGAGCUAAUUUAUUACUAUUUUGGUGAUUAUCAAUAAAACAUUUACUGUAGUAAGUCUCAAAGACACUUAUUGAGUUUCAAAGGUAUUCACCAAAGUGGCCAUUCAUAGUGAGACUAUAUAUGAUAGAUGGAAAGAUUUAAGAUCUUCAUAUUACUACAGUCAUAGCAGGUAAGAAAUAUAAAUGUGAAAGGUUAUCCUGCUUUCCUCCUCUUUGUACUACACAAAUAUGAGCAUCAUGAUAGAAUCACAUACGAUUGUAAACUAUAAAUUUAUUGAAAGAAACAUCAGUUGGCAUGA